RNAcentral lists this ribosomal RNA (253 nucleotides) under uncultured bacterium. Its description in RNAcentral is "partial 16S ribosomal RNA". It matches the Rfam family "Bacterial small subunit ribosomal RNA", at positions 524 to 776 of the family's 1533-position model. The record is from RNAcentral.
UACGUAGGGGGCAAGCGUUGUCCGGAAUCAUUGGGCGUAAAGCGCGUGUAGGCGGCUUGGUAAGUCCGCUCUGAAAGCCCGGGGCUCAACCCCGGGAGGCGGGUGGAUACUGUCAAGCUCGAGUCCGGAAGAGGCGAGUGGAAUUCCUGGUGUAGCGGUGAAAUGCGCAGAUAUCAGGAGGAACACCAAUUGCGAAGGCAGCUCGCUGGGACGUAACUGACGCUGAGACGCGAAAGCGUGGGGAGCAAACAGG